AUGGCUGUCGUCAGCUCGUGUCGUGAGAUGUUGGGUUAAGUCCCGUAACGAGCGCAACCCCUUUUGCUAGUUACCAGCGGGUAAUGCCGGGGACUCUAGUGAGACUGCCUGCGCAAGCAGUGAGGAAGGUGGGGACGACGUCAAGUCAUCAUGGCCCUUAUGCCUGGGGCUGCACACGUGCUACAAUGGGCGACACAAUGGGCAGCCACUCCGCAAGGAGGCGCGAAUCCUCAAAGUCGCUCUCAGUUCGGAUUGGAGUCUGAAACUCGACUCCAUGAAGCCGGAAUCGCUAGUAAUCGCGGAUCAGCAAUGCCGCGGUGAAUACGUUCCCGGGCCUUGUACACACCGCCCGU
This 353-nucleotide ribosomal RNA is filed under the name uncultured Bacteroidota bacterium. RNAcentral describes it as "bacterial SSU rRNA". It matches the Rfam family "Bacterial small subunit ribosomal RNA", at positions 1045 to 1397 of the family's 1533-position model. Lineage: Bacteria; Pseudomonadati; Bacteroidota. The record is from RNAcentral.